RNAcentral lists this non-coding RNA (106 nucleotides) under Brevibacillus parabrevis. RNAcentral's name for it is "SAM-I sequence". It matches the Rfam family "SAM riboswitch aptamer (S box leader)". From Rfam's summary of the family: The SAM riboswitch is found upstream of a number of genes which code for proteins involved in methionine or cysteine biosynthesis in Gram-positive bacteria. Lineage: Bacteria; Bacillati; Bacillota; Bacilli; Caryophanales; Paenibacillaceae. The record is from RNAcentral.
UUCUUAUCCAGAGAGGUGGAGGGUCUGGCCCGAUGAAGCCCGGCAACCGUUGCUUUUGCGACAAGGUGCCAAUUCCUGCGGGACGUUUCGUCUCGAUAGAUAAGAA